GUGCUUGCUUGGACAGCACAUAUACUAAAAAACUAAAACAAUACAGAGGAGAUUAGCAUGGCCCUGGCCCCAGGAUGGCGUGCAAAUUCAUGAGUGUUCCAUAUUUUC
This is a small nuclear RNA of Otolemur garnettii (small-eared galago), 108 nucleotides long. The record is from Ensembl. Lineage: Eukaryota; Metazoa; Chordata; Mammalia; Primates; Galagidae.